CUUAGUUGAGUUGAGUUGAGUUUAGUUGAUAUGUGUCACCAAACAAAGAUUAGUAAGUGUUGUAUCUUUUUAUCCAUGUUUUUCCUUUCCUUAACAAUGUUUCAUCAACAAGUACCCUGCCAAGAGUAUGCCUGUUGUGGGCUUGGUUCUUCUAGUGUCCUAAGGAUAUUUCAGGAUUCAUUUAUCUCAGUGAAAGAUCAUAACUGUAAUUUAUUAAAUUAGUUGUCUAUCACAGUGAAAACUUAGCAACUUGUUAUUAAUGUGACAAUUUUCUCUUUAAAGAAAAUGAUGGUGAUGGAACAGAGACUCUAAACAUUUGAUGCAUUUUGAGACGAAUUCAUGAUCUCUGGGAAGUAAAUAAUUUUCAGCUUUUCCUAAUCAUUUUCAUACGUGACUUGGGGUUGGUUCAAGCUUAUGAAUGACAUCAUGCUUUUAAAAUUGCUACCUUGUGUCACUGAGGGAAACCUAAUUUCUGCAUGCUGGAAAUUUUUUUGUAAAGAAAUUAGAAAGAAAAAAACUUGUUUAUUUCCAAAACCUGCAAUGUGGGAAGCCCCAUGCAUUGAGACAACCUAAUAUAUUGUUUUGCUAAUACUUCAACAAAAUUAUAUUUUUUCUUUACCAUCUUUAUUUUUUGAGCUUCGUUCUACUGUCUGUCAUGAAUACCAU
This 666-nucleotide unclassified non-coding RNA is filed under the name Hevea brasiliensis (rubber tree). The record is from RNAcentral. Lineage: Eukaryota; Viridiplantae; Streptophyta; Magnoliopsida; Malpighiales; Euphorbiaceae.